Molecule: long non-coding RNA, 1781 nt
Organism: Cornus florida
Lineage: Eukaryota; Viridiplantae; Streptophyta; Magnoliopsida; Cornales; Cornaceae
Exons: 5
Source: RefSeq, a predicted model, not a curated record
AAUAAAAGAAUUUAAGUUACGGCGAGUCUUGGUUUGGGUAUUGAGGGCCUCAAAAUAGGGAUGGGAAAAAAAAAAAAAAAAUUAUGGCAAGUCGGUCUGAAUCGCAAGAAAGUCUGAAUCACAACAAUUUCUUCUGCAGAAACUAGGGUUUGUGUUGUGUUUGUUUGCUGAUCGUCAUCAAUUUGUAACUAAUCUUGACCAUAUUAUAUAUCGUACUAUGGAUCUUGAUAAAGAACCAGAACCUGAUCUUGAAGAUUACCAAAUAGACCGUUCAUAUAUAAAGAUGAGAGAACAGGCUAAGACUCGGUCGCUAAAGCUAAGGAUAAAGAAUCAAUACUAGAAGGUUACAGAUCUGGUGUGAGGAGCUAUUAUUUUGAAUUUGAAUUUGAAUUUGAAUGCAAAGAAGCCUGGGCCGAAAAAAUGUGGAAGGGAGUAAUAGUAAAACAUGGACGAAUGAAAGAAGAUGCUCGAUUUUGGUGUUUGUGCAGAAAAUGAAGAUAUCAGAGAGUAGCCAUUGAUUCAAUACUGAUGUUGAAGGAAUUCAGAACUCCAUAUCUGUUGAGACCGACUGAUGUUGGUGUGGACUUCAACCAAGAAGUGAUUGUGAUUAGUCAUGAAGGAUUUGAUUCCUAUUUUGUUGAGUGGUUGAAGCUUGGAAACAACAUAGAAGCUGAGAGUCAGCCUUUUUUUGUAAACACAUUCGGCGACUAUGAAUUCAAGGAGUUCUGGAUUGAAUCGAUGAUGAGAUAAGAAUAUUUUUUUAUUUCAAAAAACUCCUUUCUUUAUUUGAGUAGUAUAUUAUAAUAAUACAAUUUUUUAUUAUCAAUUCCAUAAACAUUCUAGAUACAACAGGGUAUCUACACAAAAUGGGUAGAGCCCAUGGAAAUGUUCUCCAUGAUGGCUCAUAUGUUACGCGGAGAGGAAAGAUGCAUCUCAUCAUUCCUUCGAUGGAUGAAAUGAUGGCAGAACAAAACGGAAGACCUUGGAAAUUCAAAAAGUUCAUAUUCCGUCAUAUUGGCCUAAACAAUCAUCCAACUAGGCCUCACGAUUGGAAUCCAUUCUACAAUUACAAGACCUCUAAAGCAUCCUGCUAUUGAAACACCAUUUGUUAUUGAAUGAGAAAGUGAUAUUUCAAUACUUUGUGGCUCUUCGCCAUCAUUUGGGAUAUCAUCACAAGGAUUAUACUUUUAACACUGACCAGAAAAUCAAUCAAAAGUUGAUCAAUCCAUGGGGAAAGGCAAAUUGGAUAGAUAAGGUUCGCAUGGCUCAUAAAAAGUGACAAAUGUGUGUUCCUUAGGUUCUGCAGUAUCAAUAAAAUGAGGCUGGAAGUGUAAACCAAUACAAAUCUUGUAUGUCUGAUUUGGUUCGUUUUGUUGAUAAUACAACCCAUCAUGGUUGUGACCAUGCAAAGAAAUUUAAGGAACUGAUAUAUCUUGAAGAAGAUGUAGCCAUGGAGUUGGGGCACAUAUUUCCAGGCUUUCUCUCAGCCUUCACACAAAGUUUCGAUCGAAGUGUUUGAUUAUCUGAUAAUGUAGCUUCUAAUCUUAAUAUGCUCAGGUACAGUGAUAUAACAUGACUUAGCCAGAAUUUAGUUGUGUUUUCAGUGAUUUUAGUAACACUAUCAGUGGCAAGUGAUGUUUCCUUGGUAUUUUGUCACCAUGGCUUAGACUGUUUUGUUUUCUCUAAUAGUUCUUGAAUGUGAGCCAGAAUUUAGUUGUGUUUCCAGUGAUUUUCUUAACACUAUCAGUGGCAAGUGAUGUUUCCUUGGUAUUUUUUCACCA